This 369-nucleotide long non-coding RNA is filed under the name Vitis vinifera (wine grape). Its description in RNAcentral is "long non-coding RNA (VVIN_LNC006385)". Lineage: Eukaryota; Viridiplantae; Streptophyta; Magnoliopsida; Vitales; Vitaceae. The record is from RNAcentral.
CUCAGGGUUUUACAGAAAACCAUGGCGACUCUGACUCGGUGUCUGGCUCGGUCGCUGCCCGCUUUCUCCUCUCUCAUUUCUCGCUCCACUCCUUCUCUCUCCCUCUCCACCGCCUCUUGUUCCACUUUCUCACUUCUCCGCCUCCGCCCUCUCUCCGCAGCCGCCGUCUCCGUCCUCCGCCACCUCCCUCAAUCGACCAGUGCACGGAGCUUUUCCACUCGCCAAACCUCCUCCUCGCUCAAUGAUCCAAAUCCGAACUGGUCCAACCGGCCCCCGAAGGAGACGAUCUUGCUCGACGGUUGCGAUUUCGAGCACUGGCUUGUGGUGAUGGAGAAGCCGGAGGGUGACCCUACCAGAGAUGAGAUCAUU